AUUGAACGCUGGCGGCAUGCCUUACACAUGCAAGUCGAACGGCAGCACGGGAGCAAUCCUGGUGGCGAGUGGCGAACGGGUGAGUAAUAUAUCGGAACGUGCCCAGUCGUGGGGAUAACGUAGCGAAAGCUACGCUAAUACCGCAUACGAUCUAUGGAUGAAAGCGGGGGGAUCGCAAGACCUCGCGCGAUUGGAGCGGCCGAUAUCAGAUUAGGUAGUUGGUGAGGUAAAGGCUCACCCAAGCCGACGAUCUGUAGCUGGUCUGAGAGGACGACCAGCCACACUGGGACUGAGACACGGGCCCAGACUCCUACGGGAGGCAGCAGUGGGGAAUUUUGGACAAUGGGCGCAAGCCUGAUCCAGCAAUGCCGCGUGCAGGAUGAA
This 384-nucleotide ribosomal RNA is filed under the name uncultured bacterium. RNAcentral describes it as "bacterial SSU rRNA". It matches the Rfam family "Bacterial small subunit ribosomal RNA", at positions 30 to 412 of the family's 1533-position model. The record is from RNAcentral.